UGUUAAUAGACAAUCGACAUUAGAUUUGUUAUUUAAUUAUAGUGUUAUUCCCCAGCUUUUGCAAGGAUCACAGGGUUCAACUCUUGGCUUUGAAGAUCUUCGUUUUACCUCAAAUGUUUUCAACUUUUAAAAAUAAUAAAGAUCAUUUUACAAGAACUUUCAUGCCAAAUCCUAAACUCUUCUCCUUCUUUGCAGGCGGGGGCGAUUUCGAGGAGGUAGUCUGUCACCAAAUCCAGUGAAAAUUAUUGCUACUGCUGAUGCUACGAGCCCAACUGAAUAUCCAAUCCCCACUGCUGCCCAAGAAAACCAUGCUUCCUCUUCUGGUGUCUCCGCAG
RNAcentral lists this unclassified non-coding RNA (335 nucleotides) under Hevea brasiliensis (rubber tree). Lineage: Eukaryota; Viridiplantae; Streptophyta; Magnoliopsida; Malpighiales; Euphorbiaceae. The record is from RNAcentral.